UUAAGUGAAUAAGGGCGCACGGUGGAUGCCUUGGCACUAGGAGCCGAUGAAGGACGGGACUAACACCGAUAUGCUUUGGGGAGCUGUACGUAAGCUAUGAUCCAGAGAUUUCCGAAUGGGGGAACCCAACAUCUUUAAUAGGAUGUUACGAUUGUGUGAAUACAUAGCACAUUCGAGGUAGACGCAGAGAACUGAAACAUCUAAGUACCUGCAGGAAGAGAAAGAAAAUUCGAUUCCCUGAGUAGCGGCGAGCGAAACGGGAAAAGCCCAAACCAGCAAGCUUGCUUGUUGGGGUUGUAGGACUCCAAUAUGGUAGUUCUUUCAGAUAGUCGAAUGACUUGGAAAAGUCAGUCAAAGAGGGUAAAAACCCCGUAGACGAAAUGUGGAAGACACCUAGGAGGAUCCUGAGUACGGCGGAACACGAGAAAUUCCGUCGGAAUCCGGGAGGACCAUCUCCCAAGGCUAAAUACUCCCUAGUGACCGAUAGUGAACCAGUACCGUGAGGGAAAGGUGAAAAGCACCCCGGAAGGGGAGUGAAAUAGAACCUGAAACCGUGUGCCUACAACAAGUCAAAGCCCGUUAAUGGGUGAUGGCGUGCCUUUUGUAGAAUGAACCGGCGAGUUACGAUUGCAUGCGAGGUUAAGUUGAAGAGACGGAGCCGCAGCGAAAGCGAGUCUGAAUAGGGCGUUUGAGUAUGUAGUCGUAGACCCGAAACCAUGUGAUCUACCCAUGUCCAGGUUGAAGGUGCGGUAAAACGCACUGGAGGACCGAACCCACGUACGUUGAAAAGUGCGGGGAUGAGGUGUGGGUAGCGGAGAAAUUCCAAACGAACUUGGAGAUAGCUGGUUCUCUCCGAAAUAGCUUUAGGGCUAGCCUCGGAAUUGAGAAUGAUGGAGGUAGAGCACUGUUUGGACUAGGGGCCCAUCUCGGGUUACCGAAUUCAGAUAAACUCCGAAUGCCAUUCAUUCAUAUCCGGGAGUCAGACUGUGAGUGAUAAGAUCCAUAGUCGAAAGGGAAACAGCCCAGACCACCAGCUAAGGUCCCAAAAUAUAUGUUAAGUGGAAAAGGAUGUGGGGUUGCACAGACAACUAGGAUGUUAGCUUAGAAGCAGCCACCAUUUAAAGAGUGCGUAAUAGCUCACUAGUCGAGUGACCCUGCGCCGAAAAUGUACCGGGGCUAAACAUAUUACCGAAGCUGUGGAGUACACCUUUAGGUGUAUUGGUAGGAGAGCGUUCUAAGGGCGUUGAAGGCAGAUCGUGAGGACUGCUGGAGCGCUUAGAAGUGAGAAUGCCGGUAUGAGUAGCGAAAGACAGGUGAGAAUCCUGUCCACCGAAUGACUAAGGUUUCCUGGGGAAGGCUCGUCCGCCCAGGGUUAGUCGGGACCUAAGCCGAGGCCGACAGGCGUAGGCGAUGGAUAACAGGUUGAUAUUCCUGUACCCGUUGUUUUUGUUUGAGCAAUGGAGGGACGCAGGAGGCUAAGGAAUGCAGACGAUCGGAAAUGUCUGUCCAAGCAGUAAGUCUGAAGAGGAGUCAAAUGCUUCUUUUCUUAAGGACAAGCUGUGAUGGGGAGGGAAAUAAUAGUACCGAAGUUCCUGAUGUCACACUGCCGAGAAAAGCUUCUAGUGAGAAAACAGCGGCCCGUACCGCAAACCGACACAGGUAGUCGAGGAGAGAAUCCUAAGGUGAGCGAGAGAACUCUCGUUAAGGAACUCGGCAAAAUGACCCCGUAACUUCGGGAGAAGGGGUGCUGAUCAUACGAUCAGCCGCAGUGAAUAGGCCCAAGCGACUGUUUAUCAAAAACACAGGUCUCUGCAAAAUCGUAAGAUGAAGUAUAGGGGCUGACGCCUGCCCGGUGCUGGAAGGUUAAGAGGAGUGCUUAGCGCAAGCGAAGGUACGAAUUGAAGCCCCAGUAAACGGCGGCCGUAACUAUAACGGUCCUAAGGUAGCGAAAUUCCUUGUCGGGUAAGUUCCGACCCGCACGAAAGGCGUAACGAUUUGGGCACUGUCUCAACGAGAGACUCGGUGAAAUUUUAGUACCUGUGAAGAUGCAGGUUACCCGCGACAGGACGGAAAGACCCCAUGGAGCUUUACUGUAGUUUGAUAUUGAGUGUCUGUACCGCAUGUACAGGAUAGGUAGGAGCCGUAGAAAUCGGAACGCUAGUUUCGAUGGAGGCGCUGGUGGGAUACUACCCCUGCGUUAUGGCCACUCUAACCCGCACCACUAAUCGUGGUGGGAGACAGUGUCAGAUGGGCAGUUUGACUGGGGCGGUCGCCUCCUAAAAGGUAACGGAGGCGCCCAAAGGUUCCCUCAGAAUGGUUGGAAAUCAUUCGAAGAGUGUAAAGGCAGAAGGGAGCUUGACUGCGAGACCAACAAGUCGAGCAGGGACGAAAGUCGGGCUUAGUGAUCCGGUGGUUCCGCAUGGAAGGGCCAUCGCUCAACGGAUAAAAGCUACCCUGGGGAUAACAGGCUUAUCUCCCCCAAGAGUCCACAUCGACGGGGAGGUUUGGCACCUCGAUGUCGGCUCGUCGCAUCCUGGGGCUGUAGUCGGUCCCAAGGGUUGGGCUGUUCGCCCAUUAAAGCGGCACGCGAGCUGGGUUCAGAACGUCGUGAGACAGUUCGGUCCCUAUCCGUCGCGGGCGUUGGAAAUUUGAGAGGAGCUGUCCUUAGUACGAGAGGACCGGGAUGGACUUACCGCUGGUGUACCAGUUGUUCUGCCAAGGGCAUUGCUGGGUAGCUAUGUAGGGAAGGGAUAAACGCUGAAAGCAUCUAAGUGUGAAGCCCACCUCAAGAUGAGAUUUCCCAUUUCUUUAAGAAAGUAAGAUCCCUGAGAGAUGAUCAGGUAGAUAGGUCAGGAGUGGAAGUACAGUGAUGUAUGGAGCGGACUGAUACUAAUCGAUCGAGGACUUAACCAA
This 2913-nucleotide ribosomal RNA is filed under the name Enterococcus faecium. Its description in RNAcentral is "bacterial LSU rRNA". It matches the Rfam family "Bacterial large subunit ribosomal RNA". The record is from RNAcentral. Lineage: Bacteria; Bacillati; Bacillota; Bacilli; Lactobacillales; Enterococcaceae.